CCUACGGGAGGCAGCAGUGGGGGAUAUUGCACAAUGGAGGGAACUCUGAUGCAGCGACGCCGCGUGAGGGAAGACGGUUUUCGGGUUGUAAACCUCUGUCUUCGGUGACGAAACGCGACGGUAGCCUAGGAGGAAGCCACGGCUACAUACAUGCCAGCAGCCGCGGUAAUACGUAGGUGGCAAGCGUUGUCCGGAAUUACGGGUUGUAAGGGGAGCGUAGGCGGGAAAGCAAGUUGAAUGUUUAAGGUACGGGCUAACCCGGUCCAGGCGUUCAAAACUGGUUUUCUUGAGUGGAGUAGAGGCAAGCGGAAUUCCUAGUGUAGCGGUGAAAUGCGUAAAUAUGAGGAGGAACCCCAGUGGCGAAGGCGGCUUACUGGGCUGUAACUGACGCUGAGGCUCGAAAGCGUGGGUAGCAAACAGGAUUAGAUACCCCAGUAGUC
Molecule: ribosomal RNA, 440 nt
Filed under: uncultured bacterium
Lineage: Bacteria
Description: partial 16S ribosomal RNA
Rfam family: Bacterial small subunit ribosomal RNA
Source: RNAcentral